Molecule: small RNA, 726 nt
Filed under: Pan troglodytes (chimpanzee)
Lineage: Eukaryota; Metazoa; Chordata; Mammalia; Primates; Hominidae
Description: processed transcript
Source: RNAcentral
AAUGCACCAGGGUGACAACGCUAACUGGAAAGAAAAUUAUAGAAACGUGGAAAGAUGCCAGAAUUCAUGUUGUGGAAGAAGUAGAGCCGAGCAGUGGGGGUGGUUGUGGUUAUGUGCAGGACCUUAGCUCGGACCUGCAAGUUGGCGUUAUUAAGCCAUGGUUGCUCCUAGGGUCACAAGAUGCUGCUCAUGAUUUGGAUACACUGAAAAAGAAUAAGAAUGUUUUGAAUUUAUUGAAGAAGCAAAAAGAAAAGAUGGAGUGGUUCUUGUUCAUUGUAAUGCAGGCGUUUCCAGGGCUGCUGCAAUUGUAAUAGGUUUCCUGAUGAAUUCUGAACAAACCUCAUUUACCAGUGCUUUUUCGUUGGUGAAAAAUGCAAGACCUUCCAUAUGUCCAAAUUCUGGCUUCAUGGAGCAGCUUCGUACAUAUCAAGAGGGCAAAGAAAGCAAUAAGUGUGACAGAAUACAGGAGAACAGUUCAUGAGUUGCAUUGUAGCGGACAAUGGACAACUGUAGUUUCUGAAUUGACUUCUAUAGCCAUCUUUUCCCUUUUUUGGAGAGUAGACUAGCAAAACUCCCUUUUUUCUCUUGCCUUUUUUAUGCAUAAAUGGAGGUCAAUUUGAUUGUCCUGACCUACUGUAUAAGUAAAUUUCAAAUGUCAUUACUUUCUCUUUGUUAUUAUAAUGUGUGAUUAAAUGCUUUUUUAAAUUGCUAAGGGAAAAUAACAAA